UGCAAUCCAUAACAGCCCAGAGGUUUUGUUGGUGGUUUAUAGCAUGUUCUCUCUCUGGCUUUUUUUUGUAGGUCUUCAAAAAAAACUUUACAAAUGGGCUGUGUACAAGAAGCUUACGUGAGUCUACAUAAGGAAUUUUCACUGGGAAACUUUACUGAAUCCUGCACAUUGCUGUAAUAACAAAUAAAGGCUUAGAAAGAGGAUGAGCUCUUGGCACCUACUCUACAGAGCCAUUUUCACUGUGUAACACUGCUGCUGUAUAUUUGGUUACCUAUGUACAGAUCCAAGGAUAAAUUUUGGCCCUGACCAUGGAAUAUUUACUCACUUUCAAAUACGGAUGUGACCUGCCUUUUCCUUCUGCGACUAACAGGGUGACCAGAGGCAGUGGAAUGUACACCAGGGUUGGAAAGAAUAAAACCAGAGGGAAAGCAAGCUGUCAAGAGAACAGUGUACUGAAGAGAAAAAAUGUAAAACGUGACUUCUAUUUACCAUGAUUAAUAUGUAAAGUUAACUUGUUUGUCAUGGAAUAUAUUAAUAUGUAUGUUUCCCCAUUAUGUAGAUCUUUUCUUAUAUUACUUAUUAGAAAGGGAUACAAUCACAAUGAUGGGGUACGAAUGCCACUUAAAAAUUAGGUGAUGCCCAGUCAACAUAAUAUAACCACUAAUGUCAUUUCUGAUUUAGAUGUGGUGAUAUCAGUGUAAUUGCCGCUGGGAAGAAAUUAAAAUGGCUGUUAAUGAUAAAUAAAAUGACAAGGAGGAGGAUCCUCCUUCA
This 771-nucleotide long non-coding RNA is filed under the name Manacus vitellinus (golden-collared manakin). RNAcentral describes it as "lncRNA (ENSMVIG00005001629.1)". Lineage: Eukaryota; Metazoa; Chordata; Aves; Passeriformes; Pipridae. The record is from RNAcentral.